Molecule: long non-coding RNA, 2802 nt
Filed under: Mytilus galloprovincialis (Mediterranean mussel)
Lineage: Eukaryota; Metazoa; Mollusca; Bivalvia; Mytilida; Mytilidae
Source: RNAcentral
CUCCAAUGGUAGACGCUACAACGAUGGGUGUCGUCAAGAAAGGUACGAUUAAAGGAAUCAGCUAGGAAUUAGACGAUCACCAUUAGUAUAGGUGAGUUGUUUAAUAGUUAUUGCAUUGGGAUAAAUGCAUGUUUUGGAUUAAUUCAUAAUCAGGAAUAGCUGGAAAGGAAAGAAACGUGUUGCUACGUGAACCCGGAAAGGCCGGGACGAAUUUCAAAAAAAAAUCUAGAGACGAUCGUUCUGAGUGUGCCACCUACACAUUAAAACGUGUACACAAGCACAGUAUUCCCUAUCUAUGUAAUGUGUUUUUAUAAUUAUGUGAUAUAGAGCAAAAAAAGGUAGCAGUUUUUUGUGUUGUGUUGUUAAGCAUUUCCAGGGGAGAUAAUGUUAUUUUUCACGGUGUGUUUGAUAGGUUUGUUACAUUGUAUUCUAAUAUGACGUGCUUCUUUAGCUUUGUAGACAACACUGUGAUAAAAUUCUCGAUAAAAUAUAUUUAGCGCAGACUCAGAGAUAUACAUAAUAAUGGCUGUUACAAUAUACUUCCAGCGUAAAUCUACAUGUAUUGGAACCUAUUUGCAGACCCUUUGCCGAUUUUAUUGUUUUAAAAAGUGCAAUUAAAAAAGACAAAAUAACUUUUAUUCUUAUUCGUAUGCAUAAUAAAAAGAAGUAAUGCACAAGAGCUCGGAGAAAUCAACAAAAUAAAAAUUAAAUAAUAUUCCGCGAAAGUCUAUUAAUCUUUUUGGCGCAUUUAAGUCAUUUCAAAACAUGACGUCAUACAAAUGAAACCGCUAAAGUUGAAAGUUUUAUGUUACGUAAACCAUCGGAAUUCGUAUGAUAUUGUAUUAAAACUGAUUUUGGAGGUAGGUUUUGUUUUGUUUUCUAUUCUAUUGCAUUAUUCGCAUAUUUACUCAUUUCAGCAAGUCAAAAUGGCGGCUCCUUAGUUACAAAAUGUCAACUUUGGAUUUGACGGAAGCUUACGAGAAAAACAUGUAAAUUAAAAAUGGCAAAUGUUGGGUUUGAGAAUUUAAAGAAUUAAAAAGUGUUUUCUAGUAGUUGUUCACGAAAUAACCUACGCAAGCUACAUAUUUAUAAAAAUAUUUAACAGGGAGUAAAAAAGAACAGCCACACACACAGCAUACCUACCCUCGCUUCAGUUUUUAAAUGACCGUAUUUUUCCUAUUAGAAUCGAAAUAAUUCAUGGAAGCCAUAGAUUGUUGGAAAUUUACGCAUGGCCUGGGCCGUGAUAUUCGUUAAUUUUAUCCCUCGCUAACGCUCAGGAUAAAAUUCGAAUAUCACGGCCCAGGCCAUGUGUAAAUUUCCAACAAUCUAUGGCUUCCAUGAAUUAUUUCUUAAACAUUAUAUAAUACACACUCAUAAAGUGGAUUAAAAUAGCCUCUCACACUCAAUUAACUGAAUUUCAAUUAUUCUAUUUACUGUAGUGCUAUUAUAUAAGAAUUCGGAGGUUCAUAUCACUAAUAUUCAACGUUUUUAUAUCGGAUUUUUUUUACUAUUGUUAUUGAACGGUUCAUAGUAAAAAUUUUAAAAAAAUCCGAUAAAACCGUUGAAUGUAAAUGACAUGAACCUCAGAAGUCUUAUAUAUUGUCCUUUAAUACACCUUAUCGCUAAUCCCGGCUGACCCGGCCGCUUGAACUUUUGACGUCAACAACAAUCACUUUUCCAUUGUGGCGUCAUAUAUUUCGUUUUAUGACGUCAAAAUUUUACGGGAACCUGUGGAAUAUCCAGUAAUGGCGGACAAAUAGCGAUCGAGUGUAUAUAAGACCGGGGGUUCAUAUCAUUUACAUUCCACAUUUUUUAUCGAAUUUUUGUUUACUUUCCAUGUUGAACGGUUCAACGGUUCAACAUUGGUAGUUAAAAAAAAAUCCGAUAAAAAUUAAUGGUUCAACAUUGAUAGUAAAAAAAAAUCCGAUAAACAUGUUGAAUGUAAAUGAUAUGAAACUCUGAAGCCUUACAUUAUUGGACUAUCGUUUAUUAGUUCUUUAUCCUAACUAAAUGUUUUUUUUGUGGUGUAUAUUACAAAACAAAGGGGGGGGGUCUUUUAAAAACACCAAAAUACCUUAACAAUCCUACAAUAUCUGUUUACAGAAUGAGAGAGAUAUUUCGUAUUCUAAACUUAUAUUUUUCUCACAUGUUUGUUAGAUAUGUUGAAAAUACAGACAAAUGUUUAGUACGUAUACCCAUCCCCUCUUUUUCAAUUCAUUAGUUCAAGAUACAGCUCUGAAGAAUAUGCAAUAACCUAACAUUGAUAAUUUAGCUAACAAUAAAUUCAGUACAUUUUUCUAACAAGUGAAGACCAAUUAAAACAUUUGAUAUGAUUUGAAAACAUGGCCAAUUAAGUAGGAUCUUGUGGUUUCGUAGACAUAAAUGAUAAUUCAACAUUUUCGAUUCUUUAUUUCAUUCUAGUAUAUUUAAUAACAUGUUUAUAUUUUGUGACGCAUCUGAUGUAUAAAUCCAGUGCCAGAUCCGGGAAAGAGCUCUUAGUUCCGAUCCGUUUGUACGGGGAACAUGUGGUUGCAACCCCCUCUUUAAUUGCCUGUUCGAUUUUUUGUUUGCAGUGUCGAAAAGGGAGAAAGACAGCAGUUUUAUCAAGAAGUUAUGUGAAAGUUCUGCUAUACAUCUGACAGUCAGGAAUUAUUCUGAAGUACACAUGUCGACCAGAGGCAUGGAACAGAGAGGAGAGGUUUUAAAGUACCAGAUGCUUAUCUGAGAUUCCAAUUUGAACUAAAGAAAGCAAUAUAUAAAGAUAUGUUGGAGAAAUAAUCUAUAUGAAUAAAGUUAUGCCAC